GAUGAACGCUAGCUACAGGCUUAACACAUGCAAGUCGAGGGGCAUCAUGGGAGUUGCUUGCAACUUCUGAUGGCGACCGGCGCACGGGUGAGUAACGCGUAUCCAACCUUCCCCUCAGUAGGGCAUAGCCCGGCGAAAGUCGGAUUAAUACCCUAUGUUCUCCUUUGCAGGCAUCUAACGAGGAGCAAAGAUUGAUCGCUGAGGGAUGGGGAUGCGUCUGAUUAGCUUGUCGGCGGGGUAACGGCCCACCGAGGCAACGAUCAGUAGGGGUUCUGAGAGGAAGGUCCCCCACAUUGGUACUGAGACACGGACCAAACUCC
Molecule: ribosomal RNA, 320 nt
Filed under: uncultured Prevotella sp.
Lineage: Bacteria; Pseudomonadati; Bacteroidota; Bacteroidia; Bacteroidales; Prevotellaceae
Description: bacterial SSU rRNA
Rfam family: Bacterial small subunit ribosomal RNA
Source: RNAcentral